Molecule: ribosomal RNA, 669 nt
Filed under: uncultured bacterium
Lineage: Bacteria
Description: bacterial SSU rRNA
Rfam family: Bacterial small subunit ribosomal RNA
Source: RNAcentral
AGAGUUUGAUCCUGGCUCAGGAUGAACGCUGGCGGCGUGCUUAACACAUGCAAGUCGAACGGGAAGCGGCCUUCGGGCCGUGGAGAGUGGCGAACGGGUGCGUAACACGUAGCUUAUCUGCCCUGAAGACGGGAAUAACUUGCGGAAACGUGAGCUAAUACCCGAUAAGCUCCCGGCUGCUAGAGAGCCGAGAGAAAAAGCUAAGGCGCUUUGGGAUGAGGCUGCGGUCCAUCAGCUAGUUGGUGAGGUAAAGGCUCACCAAGGCAACGACGGAUAGGGGACCUGAGAGGGUGACCCCCCACACUGGCACUGAGACACGGGCCAGACUCCUACGGGAGGCAGCAGUGAGGAAUAUUGCGCAAUGGAGGCAACUCUGACGCAGCGACGCCGCGUGGGCGAAGAAGGUCUUCGGAUCGUAAAGCCCUUUUCUCUGUGACGAGACAAGGACGGUAGCAGAGGAAUAAGUCUCGGCUAACUACGUGCCAGCAGCCGCGGUAAAACGUAGGAGGCAAGCGUUAUCCGGAGUUACUGGGCGUAAAGCGCGUGUAGGCGGCGAUGCAGGUCGGAUGUGAAAGCUCCCAGGCUAAACCGGGAGAGGUCAUUCGAAACCGUGUGGCUAGAGGAUGGCAGAGGCGUGUGGAAUUCCCGGGUGUAGUGGUGAAAUGCGCA